CAGUAGCCACGGUAACACGGAGGGUGCAAGCGUUAAUCGGAAUUACUGGGCGUAAAGCGCACGCAGGCGGUCUGACAAGUCAGAUGUGAAAUCCCCGGGCUUAACCUGGGAACUGCAUUUGAAACUGUCAGGCUGGAGUCUUGUAGAGGGGGGUAGAAUUCCAGGUGUAGCGGUGAAAUGCGUAGAGAUCUGGAGGAAUACCGGUGGCGAAGGCGGCCCCCUGGACAAAGACUGACGCUCAGGUGCGAAAGCGUGGGGAGCAAACAGGAUUAGAUACCCGCGUAGUUCCUGUCUCUUAUAC
Molecule: ribosomal RNA, 301 nt
Filed under: uncultured bacterium
Lineage: Bacteria
Description: partial 16S ribosomal RNA
Rfam family: Bacterial small subunit ribosomal RNA
Source: RNAcentral